GGGGAAUAUUGCGCAAUGGGGGAAACCCUGACGCAGCAACGCCGCGUGAAGGAUGAAGGUCUUCGGAUUGUAAACUUCUUUGAUUGGGGACGAUAAUGACGGUACCCAAGGAACAAGCCACGGCUAACUACGUGCCAGCAGCCGCGGUAAUACGUAGGUGGCGAGCGUUGUCCGGAAUUACUGGGUGUAAAGGGCGUGUAGGCGGGGAUGCAAGCCAGAUGUGAAAUUCCGGGGCUCAACCCCGGCACUGCAUCUGAAACUGUGUCUCUUGAGUGCUGGAGAGGAAAGUGGAAUUCCUAGUGUAGCGGUGAAAUGCGUAGAGAUUAGGAGGAACACCAGUGGCGAAGGCGACUUUCUGGACAGUAACUGACGCUGAGGCGCGAGAGCGUGGGGAGCAAAC
Molecule: ribosomal RNA, 400 nt
Filed under: uncultured bacterium
Lineage: Bacteria
Description: bacterial SSU rRNA
Rfam family: Bacterial small subunit ribosomal RNA
Source: RNAcentral